UACGGAGGGUGCAAACGUUGCUCGGAAUCAUUGGGCGUAAAGCGCACGUAGGCGGCCCGGUAAGUCGGAUGUGAAAGCCCUCGGCUCAACUGAGGAAGUGCAUUCGAAACUGCUGGACUUGAGUACGGGAGAGGGAUGCGGAAUUCCCGGUGUAGAAGUGAAAUUCGUAGAUAUCGGGAGGAACACCAGUGGCGAAGGAGGCAUCCUGGACCGAUACUGACGCUGAGGUGCGAAAGCGUGGGGAGCAAACAGG
This 253-nucleotide ribosomal RNA is filed under the name uncultured bacterium. RNAcentral's name for it is "partial 16S ribosomal RNA". It matches the Rfam family "Bacterial small subunit ribosomal RNA", at positions 524 to 776 of the family's 1533-position model. The record is from RNAcentral.